Molecule: small nuclear RNA, 107 nt
Filed under: Tupaia belangeri (northern tree shrew)
Lineage: Eukaryota; Metazoa; Chordata; Mammalia; Scandentia; Tupaiidae
Source: RNAcentral
GUGCUUGCUUUGGCAGCACAUAUAUUAAAAUUGAGAUGAUACAGAGAAAAUUAGUAUGGACCCUAUGCAAAGAUGACACGCAAAUUUAUCAAGUGUUCUAUAGCAAA